Non-coding RNA from Aedes albopictus (Asian tiger mosquito), 72 nucleotides. Lineage: Eukaryota; Metazoa; Arthropoda; Insecta; Diptera; Culicidae. The record is from Rfam.
UGUUCUGUGGCUUAGUUGGUUAAAGCGCUGGACUAAUGAUACGGAGUCGUGGGUUCGAAUCCCACCAAACAA